Molecule: regulatory RNA element, 129 nt
Organism: Nakamurella panacisegetis
Lineage: Bacteria; Bacillati; Actinomycetota; Actinomycetes; Nakamurellales; Nakamurellaceae
Rfam family: ALIL pseudoknot
Source: Rfam
AACUUUUUUCGCGGCGGAGCUCGACCGCCGACAGAAGUGAUCAUCAGCUACAUCGAUCAGCACAAGGCGGAAUACGGCGUCGGGACGAUCUGCCGGGUGCUCACCGAGCACGGCUGCAAGAUCGCGUCG